Molecule: transfer RNA, 67 nt
Filed under: Chaetodontoplus conspicillatus (spectacled angelfish)
Lineage: Eukaryota; Metazoa; Chordata; Actinopteri; Pomacanthidae
Description: tRNA-Ser
Source: RNAcentral
GAGAGAGGCUGGCAGCAUCAAAGACUGCUAAUCUUCGACCCCUCAGUUAAACUCUGAGGCUCCCUCG